RNAcentral lists this ribosomal RNA (253 nucleotides) under uncultured bacterium. RNAcentral's name for it is "partial 16S ribosomal RNA". It matches the Rfam family "Bacterial small subunit ribosomal RNA", at positions 524 to 776 of the family's 1533-position model. The record is from RNAcentral.
UACAGAGGGUGCAAGCGUUGUUCGGAAUUAUUGGGCGUAAAGCGCGUGUAGGCGGCUUUGCAAGUCGGGUGUGAAAGCCCUCAGCUCAACUGAGGAAGUGCGCCCGAAACUGCAGAGCUUGAGUACCGGAGAGGAUGGUGGAAUUCCCCAAGUAGAGGUGAAAUUCGUAGAUAUCAAGCAGAACACCUGCGGCGAAGGCGGCCUUCUGGACGAUGACUGACGCUGAGACACGAAAGCGUGGGGAGCAAACAGG